This 471-nucleotide ribosomal RNA is filed under the name uncultured bacterium. RNAcentral describes it as "bacterial SSU rRNA". It matches the Rfam family "Bacterial small subunit ribosomal RNA", at positions 28 to 507 of the family's 1533-position model. The record is from RNAcentral.
GAUGAACGCUAGCGACAGGCUUAACACAUGCAAGUCGAGGGGCAACGGAGUUGUAGCUUGCUAUAACUGCCGGCGACCGGCGCACGGGUGAGUAACACGUAUGCAACCUGCCCGUUGCAGGGGGAUAAGCGGAAGAAAUUCCGUCUAAUACCGCGUAAUAUGGAUAAGAGGCAUCUCUAAUUCAUUAAAGAUUUAUCGGCAACGGAUGGGCAUGCGGUGCAUUAGCUAGUUGGGGGGGUAACGGCCCACCAAGGCGACGAUGCAUAGGGGUUCUGAGAGGAAGGUCCCCCACACUGGUACUGAGACACGGCCCAAACUCCUACGGGAGGCAGCAGUUAGGAAUAUUGGACAAUGGGGGCAACCCUGAUCCAGCCAUGCCGCGUGAGUGAAGAAGGCCUUCGGGUUGUAAACUUCUUUUACCAGGGACGAAUAAUGACGGUACCUGGAGAAAAAGCAACGGCUAACUACGUG